CAGCCGCCGCGGUAAUACGAAGGGGGCUAGCGUUGCUCGGAAUGACUGGGCGCAAAGGGCGCGUAGGCGGCGAUCAAAGUCAGGCGUGAAAUUCCUGGGCUCAACCUGGGGGCUGCGCUUGAUACUUGGUUGCUUGAGUGGGGAAGAGGGUCGUGGAAUUCCCAGUGUAGAGGUGAAAUUCGUAGAUAUUGGGAAGAACACCGGUGGCGAAGGCGGCGACCUGGUCCUUGACUGACGCUGAGGCGCGAAAGCGUGGGGAGCAAACAGGAUUAGAUACCCCCGUAGUCCCUGUCUCUUAUAC
Molecule: ribosomal RNA, 301 nt
Filed under: uncultured bacterium
Lineage: Bacteria
Description: partial 16S ribosomal RNA
Rfam family: Bacterial small subunit ribosomal RNA
Source: RNAcentral